UCAAAGGGUUUUUCAACAUUAAAACUACCUUUUUCGAUGGAUUUUUUAGGGGCAUCUGUAGUUCUACAUUAUAAGUUAGCAUCCUUAUAUAAACUUUUUUCCAUAAAUAAAUAGCAUUUUACUAGAAUGUACAGUGGAUUUCACCAAAAGUUUAUGGCCAUAGUCUUUUUGGUGUAUGGAAAGCCAUCAACUGCUACCUCCAUUGCCAUCAAUUCAUUUUAGUUAAGUUUAGGGGGAAUUAAAGCUUCAUCAAUCUUGGCAAUAGUGAUUAUUAACACGUUAGUAGUAAAGAUGGGGCCAUGCAUUUUAGGGAGAAAGGAAUUGAAUUGAAAUUCUUUUGGACAUUUUGGAAGUGCAUUUUCACUGGUUUUCAUGAUUAGGUGGAAACAAAUUUUAUGAGCUUUGCCAAGAACAUAUAUUUGGUGCGUUUUUGUUAAUGGUUUUGGUAUGAACUGG
This 456-nucleotide long non-coding RNA is filed under the name Amborella trichopoda. RNAcentral's name for it is "long non-coding RNA (ATRI_LNC005446)". Lineage: Eukaryota; Viridiplantae; Streptophyta; Magnoliopsida; Amborellales; Amborellaceae. The record is from RNAcentral.